Molecule: ribosomal RNA, 546 nt
Filed under: uncultured bacterium
Lineage: Bacteria
Description: bacterial SSU rRNA
Rfam family: Bacterial small subunit ribosomal RNA
Source: RNAcentral
GGGAGGCAGCAGUGGGGAAUAUUGGACAAUGGGCGCAAGCCUGAUCCAGCCAUGCCGCGUGAGUGAUGAAGGCCUUAGGGUUGUAAAGCUCUUUCGCUAGGGAAGAUAAUGACGGUACCUAGUAAAGAAGCCCCGGCUAACUUCGUGCCAGCAGCCGCGGUAAUACGAAGGGGGCUAACGUUGUUCGGAUUUACUGGGCGUAAAGCGUACGUAGGCGGAUUAGAAAGUUAGGGGUGAAAUCCCGAGGCUCAACCUCGGAACUGCCUUUAAAACUUCUAGUCUAGAGAUCGGGAGAGGUGUAUGGAACUCCUAGUGUAGAGGUGGAAUUCGUAGAUAUUAGGAAGAACACCAGUGGCGAAGGCGAUACACUGGCCCGAUACUGACGCUGAGGUACGAAAGCGUGGGGAGCAAACAGGAUUAGAUACCCUGGUAGUCCACGCCGUAAACUAUGAGAGCUAGCCGUUGGGAAGUUUACUUUUCAGUGGCGCAGCUAACGCAUUAAGCUCUCCGCCUGGGGAGUACGGUCGCAAGAUUAAAACUCAAAUG